GACAGAGGGUGCAAACGUUGUUCGGAAUUACUGGGCGUAAAGCGCGUGUAGGCGGCCCUGCAAGUCGGAUGUGAAAUCCCACGGCUCAACCGUGGAAGUGCAUUCGAAACUGCAGGGCUAGAGUCCUGGAGAGGAAGGUGGAAUGCUUGGUGUAGAGGUGAAAUUCGUAGAUAUUCGGAGGAACACCAGUGGCGAAGGCGGCUCACUGGUCCAUUACUGACGCUGAGGUGCGAAAGCGUGGGGAGCAAACAGG
RNAcentral lists this ribosomal RNA (253 nucleotides) under uncultured bacterium. RNAcentral describes it as "partial 16S ribosomal RNA". It matches the Rfam family "Bacterial small subunit ribosomal RNA", at positions 524 to 776 of the family's 1533-position model. The record is from RNAcentral.